RNAcentral lists this ribosomal RNA (253 nucleotides) under uncultured bacterium. RNAcentral's name for it is "partial 16S ribosomal RNA". It matches the Rfam family "Bacterial small subunit ribosomal RNA", at positions 524 to 776 of the family's 1533-position model. The record is from RNAcentral.
UACGAAGGGGGCUAGCGUUGCUCGGAAUUACUGGGCGUAAAGCGCACGUAGGCGGUUUCUUAAGUCGGGGGUGAAAUCCUGGAGCUCAACUCCAGAACUGCCUUCGAUACUGAGAGACUUGAGUCCGGGAGAGGUGAGUGGAACUGCGAGUGUAGAGGUGAAAUUCGUAGAUAUUCGGAAGAACACCAGUGGCGAAGGCGACUGACUGGACAAGUAUUGACGCUGAGGUGCGAAAGCGUGGGGAGCGAACAGG